AGAGUUUGAUCCUGGCUCAGGACGAACGCUGGCGGCGCGCCUAACACAUGCAAGUCGAACGAGCGAGAGAGAGCUUGCUUUCUUGAGCGAGUGGCGAACGGGUGAGUAACGCGUGAGGAACCUGCCUCAAAGAGGGGGACAACAGUUGGAAACGACUGCUAAUACCGCAUAAGCCCACGACCCGGCAUCGGGUAGAGGGAAAAGGAGCAAAUCCGCUUUGAGAUGGCCUCGCGUCCGAUUAGCUAGUUGGUGAGGUAACGGCCACCAAGGCAACGAUCGGUAGCCGGACUGGAGAGGUUGAACGGCCACAUUGGGACUGAGACACGGCCCAGACUCCUACGGGAGGCA
Molecule: ribosomal RNA, 348 nt
Filed under: uncultured bacterium
Lineage: Bacteria
Description: bacterial SSU rRNA
Rfam family: Bacterial small subunit ribosomal RNA
Source: RNAcentral